GCGCAAUGCGUUAGGGCAUCUCAGUGCAGAACCAAAACUGCCAAAGUGAGCGGCGCACCAUAGAAGCACAGGGCCGUUUGUGUGGCACAGCGUCAGGCAAGCGUGUGUACUGGCACCGCCCAGGUCAAAAGGGGCACGUCACCAUAAGGCAAGCAAGCCAAUUACGUACUUAUGGGGCCUGUGUCUGCAAUGCGUUCUGGUAAACAAAUUUGGGAGGAGGGUGUCCGCAACGGCCUGCGGGCAUCCUUUU
Molecule: non-coding RNA, 250 nt
Filed under: unclassified sequences
Description: FuFi-1 RNA
Rfam family: FuFi-1 RNA
Source: Rfam by way of RNAcentral